ACUUGUUAUCAUCCUUGUGUUGCUUAUUUUGUCCUCUGAAUUCCUUGAACUUUGUAGAUAAAUUUUCUUCUGCCUAUUUUCUUUUGAUAGUUGAGAGGCAAAUACUAAUUAUUCAAAACCAGAACUCCUCUCCAAACAAUGGUUUUAUGAAUUCAUAAUGUAACUGGAUAGGUACUUGUAUGUAUUUUUUAAAAUGCCUUAUUUGCAUGUGAUCAAGUGUUUUUUUAAAUUCUGACAGUGAAUUAACUUGGGAAAAUUAGGAAAAAAGAUUUAUUUGUCAAACGUAAGUCUGUGGUUGUAGUUCAUUCCGAUUUCCCACGGAAUAAUAUUGCUAGAUGAUUAGUAUUUUCUGAUGCUCAAGAACACUUGUGAAAUGGAGCAGUUUACUUAGUAUGGUAAAAAAUGGAAUAAAUAGGGGCAGAUAAUCUUUGCAGUUAAAUAGAUUCGUAUUUUAAGCACAUGCAACUACAUGUGUCACUGACGUACUUAAUAUAUUUAAAGCCAUUCAGUUUUCUUUUAUUGAGAUAAGUGUUCAUAAAUCAUGAAAUUUACCUUUAAAAAUGCAUGGUUCCUUUGUUUUAGUAUGUUCAAAAUGUUGUGCAGUCAUCCCCAAUAUCUAGUUUUAAAGUAUUUUUGUUACCUCCUAAAGAAACUAUGUGCCCAUUGGCUGUCACUGUCCCCUUCCUUCUUCCGGCCCCUGGCUGCUACUAAUCUAUUUUCUUUCUGUUGAUUUGGGUAUUCUAGAUAUUUCAUGUAAGUAGAAUUACAUAAUAUGUAGCUCUGGCUUCUUUGACCCAUUACGUUUUCAAGGUUCAUCAAUGUAGCAUGUAUCAGUGUUUCAUUCCUUUUUUAUACAUGAAUAAAAUUCCAAAGCCAUUUAAUUUUGGUUUAAUGGAUACAUUGUACAUGUUAAAGAAGAGAUUGUCAUGAGGGAGGCUCAAAUAGGCAUUCUCAAUGUUGAAAAAUAGUGUACUUGGAAAUGUUGGUCCUAAAUGUACAGCAUAUUUAUAAAGAAGACUUGCUUUUUAAAUAGCCCCUGGAAAGUAGAGAUUUUUUUAUUGCCCUGGAGUUAGUUUAUGAAAUUUGAUAAAUAUCUGAUAAAUAUAUCUCAUAUAUGAACAUAAGUGGAAAGUUCUCUGGAAGCAUCAGUACUUCCACUAAGAUAAUGCUAUUUUUUAAAUAUUUAUUUAUUUAUUUUUAUUUAUUUGACAGAUAGAAUUAGAGAGAGAUAGAAAGGUCUUCUCUCCAUUGGCUCACCCUCCAAAUGGCCGCUAUGGCCAGAGCUAUACUGAUCUAAAGCCAGGACCCAGGUGCUUCUUCCCAGUCUCCCAUGAUGGUGCAGGGGCCCAAGCAUUUGGGCCAUCCUCCACCGCCCUCCCGGGCCACAGCAGGGAGCUGGACUGGAAGAGGAGCAACCGGGACUGGAACCUGGUGCCCAUAUGGGAUGCCGGCGCUGCAGGUGGAGGAUUAACCAAGUGAGCCACAUUGCUAACCCGAUAAUGAUAUUUUUAAAACGAUUCUAGGGACGGUAAAGAUGCCAGUUAUGAUGCCCACAUCCUACAUCUGAGUACUUGGAUUCGAUCCCUAACUCUAGCUCCUAACUCCAGUUUCUCACUAGUGCAGGCACUGGGAAGCAGUAAUCAUGGCUCAGGUCCACCCUAAGGCCAAGUGGUGUGAGUUCCUUGUUCCCUGGUCCAGCCCUGACCAUGUAGCCAUUUGGAGAGUGUAUCACUAGAUGGCAUCUUUCUUUCCGAAUUUUCAAAUAAAUAAUUUUUAAAAAAAUAUUUUACUUAGAAAAAAUUGAAGCACUGUGUGUUACAAUAAAAUUACUUUUAUUAUGAUAGAUUAUAGAAUAUUUUUCCCCUAAACUAUUUAGUAAAAAUAUUUCACAUUCCUCUUGACAUUUAAUAUCAGUGUAAUAAUCAUGUUUGAUACCAUAUAAUUUUGUAGAUGAUGACGUCUUCUGGGUCACAGAGACUGAAGAUUGAUUCCUAGAGGGUACUAACUUGCCUUUUUACACUGGGAAAGUUACUUAAGCUCUUUAAAUUUUAUUUGUAAAUUAGGCAACUGUUACAUGUCUUUUUGCAGAUAGUGGUUUAAAGGAUUAAAUUACAUAAUGUCCUCAAAAUUUCCAGUACAAGCUCUCAUAGAGGACACUGAAAACCUAAUUGUUUUUAUGCUAUAUCACAAUUAUAUUUGUUAUUUAAUAUUGGAUUCUGCUUUCCACUGAAGAUAAGAGAAUUCCAACUUAAAAAUUUUCUAUUGUUCAAUUAAUAGGGAUAUUUGUUAAUACUAAUAUUGACAAAUAUUCAGUUUCUAGAUGUAACUAUAUAUUGACUGAUAUUCAGUUUCUUAUUGAAUAAACACAGAGACAUUUUUAUUGGCACAUGAAAAAGAUUUUUAGCCAAUUAAAUCAACUGCUUAUAUUUUGAAGUUUCUUGUUGCAUUCAUAUACUCUAUACUUAAUUCCUAAGGAAAUUAUUUUUGUAUUUUUUAGUUCAGACUUUAAACAUUUUGAUGUCAUUGAAGUAAUUUUUCUGGCUCUUUAAGGAGGGUCACUUCAGUAAAAUCCUUACCAUUUAAGAUUCUUGGGGAAAUUUGAAUUCUUUAUUGAAUACUUUAAAAACUAACCUCCCAAAAGAACUUUGUUUUGCACUUUUAAAAUUUAUGAGAUAAGAAAUAUUUCAGUUAUUUGCAAAACUUCAAUUUUUGGCUGGCGCCAUGGCUCAAUAGGCUAAUCCUCUGCCUUGUGGCGCCAGCACACCAGGUUCUAGUCCCGGUCGGGGCACAGGAUUCUGAUCCGGUUGCCCCUCUUCCAGGCCAGCUCUCUGCUGUGGCCCGGGAGUGCAGUGGAGGAUGGCCCAAGUGCUUGGGCCCUGCACCCCAUGGGAGACCAGGAGGAAGCACCUGGCUCCUGCCUUCGGAUUAGCACGGUGCGCCGGCGGCAGUGCGCUGGUCAUGGCGGCCAUUAGAGGGUGAACCAACAGCAAAGGAAGACCUUUUUCUCUGUCUCUCUCUCUCACUGUCCACUCUGCCUGUCAAAAAAAAAAAAAAAAAGAAGAAGAAAAUAAAACUUCAAUUUUUAGUAAUUUGGGUAUUUUUCUUUUGAAAAAUAUUGCUAGUGAUUUGGCAACAAGUAUUUUAGAUUGGUAACUAAUAGUGUUACUUAGAGAAAACACUGCGUGGAAGUAUACUGUCAGAAUUUGACCUCCUCUUUGACAAAUAAUGAUCAUUACCCAAAUUAUUUUGUAAUUCUACUGAUAAAUUGAAUCUCCCUAAGAGAGAGUAGUCUAGAAAUAAUAAUAGGGUACAGGUUUAUGUCAUAGUGGUUAAGAUCUGCUUGGGACUGCCCUAUCCCAUGUUGGAGUGCCUGGGUUCAAGUUCCAGCUCUGCUUCUGAUUCUGGCUUCCUGCUGUUGCUUACACUAAGAGGCAGCAGGUGAUGCUUCAAGUAUUUGGGUCCCUGCCAGCCCUGUGAAGACCUGGGGAUUGAAUUCCAGGUUCCUUGCUUCAGCCUGGCCAAGCCCUAACUUUUGUAGGCAUUUGGGCAGUAAGCCAACAGGUGGGAGAUAUUUCUCUCCCUGUUUGUCUCUUCCUUUUAAAUAAAAAUAAAUGAAUAAAUUAUAGCAUUUUUUAAAGUAUACACUUUGCUGAUUUGUAAUAUCAAGUUGAUUUUUAUACAUGUCCAUAUUUGAGUAUAUAUUGUUUCAUAUUAUACCUUGGCCUUUAGAUGGCAGUAUUGUCUUUGUAUAUUUCAGUGGCACAGCUUUUGUGUCCUGGAUAUAACUAUAAGGAUAUAAUGCUUGUAUACGUUUCUGCUGUUCUUUUGAAAUAUUUGUUCUUCAGGUCAAAUUAAUGGGAACAUUUCUUUUUAAAGUUUGAAAUAUAGUUACAUCUAGAAUGCAACAAGAUGAAUUUGCCAUUUUACAUGAACAAUUAAAAUACUUGAACUUCCAUAUUUGUGGCACUAAUUUAAAUAGCCUAAACUUUAAAUAAAACAGGGAAGGAUAUCUGUGUUUAUCAGAGGGAGAGGUUUUAUUCCCACGGAAAGAAAGUGAGGGCAAUGGUUUGACAUUUUAAAACUCAAAUAAGUUACAGUGAAGAGAGUUGAGACAUACAGGUAGAAUCUUCCUAAAAGAAAAUUUUUAUUUCAGUCAUUUUUGAGUGAGACAAGUGCCAUGCACUUACAUGGAUGUAUUUUGCAUCUGCUCUAAAACUCUUGUGUAGACUCUAGAAAUAGAUUUGAGAAAUAUAACCAUAGUGAGAGUGUAGCAUAUUGUAUGCAUCUGUCUUUCUAGUGAUAGCUUUUAUAUCACUUCAGUGUACUUGCCACAAAAGCUAUUUUUAUGUCAUAAUUAGUUUGGGGAUUGUCAUAGUCCAUUUUUACUGCUGUAACAGAAUACCUGAGACUGGGUAGUUUGUAAAGAAUGGAGGUUUGUUUGGCUCACAGUUUUGGAAACUUACAAGUCCAAGAGCAUGGUGUCAGCAUCUGGCCAAACCCUUUGUGCUGCCUCAUCCCAUAGUAGAAAGAGGAAGGGCAGGGGGGAGAGAGUGAGGGGUAGAGACAGAACCUAACUUCCUUUUAGAAUAAGUCCUCUUGAGAUAACUAACCCAGUUCUGUAUUGAUGACAGAUCGUCCGUGAGUGUAGAGCUCAAUGUUCUAAUCACAUCUUAUUAGAUUUCAUUUCCUGACAUUGUUACUUUGGGGAUUAAGCUUCCAAAUAUGAACUUUGGGGAGCACAGUCAAACAUUGUGGGUGUGUAGUUAUUGAUGACAUAGAGACUUCAGUAAGUAUAUUUUAUCUGCUUUUUUACUCUUCCUGUAGCCAGAUUCUGCUUUUCUAUUUUUUUGACAGAGGAACUUUUUAGAUGGACUUUCAUUCAGUUUUGAAAUGAUGGGAUUGGAUAGAUUAUCUGUUGUUUGUUAUCCAGCCUGAUAUUUUAAAGUACUAGGAUUUUAUGAUUUAUUUAAAAAACAAUUUAUGUUUUAAGUCAUAGGGUCAGUAUAUUGAUAUAGAUCUGUGUGGGUCAUGUUUGCAUUUAGUCUAUUGUUUUUUCACAUUCUCCUCUGAAGAGUUAGGGACUAGUAUAGAUUUUUGAAUUAUCAGGAAAAUAGCCCUAUAGUAUGAAUAUAUUUUAGAAAUUUUUAGGUAAAUGAUAAAAAUUUCUUGGUUAAAACUUUUAUUUCCUAAAAGUAAAGUGUGAUUUUUUUUGUUUUCAGACUCUUGGUUAAUUGAUACUUUACUAGUUUUGUAAUUCAUUGACAUCUCUUACAGAUGAUUUGACAUCUAUUAGAGACACUUGGCCACUACUGUAAAAUAUUAUUUUGACUUUUAUUAUUCAUAAUAGGCAUUUGGCCUAUUGCUUGAGGACACCAGUUGAGAAAACUGCAUACUAUAUCAGAGUGCCUGGGUUCAAAACCCAUUCCACUCUCAAUGCUAGCUUUCUGCUAAUGCAGACCUUGCAGGCAUCAGUGAUAGCUCAGGUAGCUGUGUCCCUAUCACCCACAUGGGGGAGCUUGACUUGAGUUCCUGGCUCCCAUAUUUGGCCGGGUUCUAGUCCCAGUUGGGGUGCCGGAUUCUGUCCCGGUUGCCCCUCUUCCAGGCCAGCUUUCUUGACUUGAGUUCCUGGCUCCCAUAUUUGGCCUGGUCCAGCCUCAGCCACUUUAGGAAUAUGGGGAGUGAACAAAUGUAUGGGAGCUGUCUUUGUCUCUUUGCCUCUCAAAUAAAUAAAAUAAACUUCAAAGUUUAAAAAAAAUAUUCUUUGGAGGCUUGCAUGGAUGAGGUAGGUUCUAAAUUUAUCUUUCUAGACUUUCUUCCUCCUGACUGGAAGCAUUUUGAGAGAUUGAGGCAAAUGCUAUUUUUGUGUCACAUGGAAUGUGGCCCACACCUUGAUCCUGCUAUUUCCUACUCAUGUGACUUGGGUUAGUUGUGGGAAUUUUUGCACUUUGAUUUCCUUCUUUGCAGAAAAUGUAUAGUGCUGCUUCAAACAUGUUCUUAUGAGAAUGAGACUCAAUGAGAUUAAGAGGUAAAGUAUCACAUGUGUUUCAUGGCCCCUAACAUUGGAAGACUUCAGUGAAAGUUUUCUACCUCUCCCUGUCAGGGUUUGCUUUGUGUAAUCUACCAACUUGAGCUGGGCUGUGUCUGUGCGCAGUAUCACUGAUUUCACCGAUUAGCCACUGACAGUGAUUUGAGGCUGUUGCAAUAGAAUGGAUUGCAAUCGUGUAGAUCAUCAGCUGGGAUAGUAAGAUAAACAUUUGUGCAAAAUAUCAGUAGCUAGUUUGGCAUUUUUUGAGAACUUGCAUCCCAUAACCGUUUUAGUCUUCAGUGUAGAGUUAAUAUAUUGAGGGUCUUUAUAUAUGAAUUAAUAUAUUAAGGAGGGCCGGCGCCGCGGCUCACUAGGCUAAUCCUCCGCCUUGCUGCGCCGGCACACCGGGUUCUAGUCCCGGUCGGGGCGCCGGAUUCUGUCCCGGUUGCCCCUCUUCCAGGCCAGCUCUCUGCUGUGGCCAGGGAGUACAGUGGAGGAUGGCCCAAGUGCUUGGGCCCUGCACCCCAUGGGAGACCAGGAUAAGCACCUGGCUCAUGCCAUCGAUCAGCGGCGGCCAUUGGAGGGUGAACCAAUGGCAAAGGAAGACCUUUCUCUCUGUCUCUCUCUCUCACUGUCCACUCUGACUGUCAAAAAAAAAAAAAAAUAUAUAUAUAUAUAUAUAUAUAUAUAUAUAUAAAGGAGAUUAGUUGUCCUCUAAUCCCAGAUUUCCCCAUUACACUUCUGAUAUCUUGUUUCUCAAAUACUAUUCCUUGUAAAGUGAGUUUACUUAUAAUCACAUACAUAAAUAAUUUUUAUUUGUAAUGGAUUCUGUCUUCUGAGCACUCAGUUCAGUCUCUAAAAUCCCUCAGGAUAGAUGGCUUACCUUAGAUGGGGCAUUUACUUAGGCCCAGAGUGGUGGUUUCCAGGGAGCAGUGACACUUGCUUGUGGCAUUCUAAAGAAAUUGUCCUAAAGAUAUUUAACUUUAUCUUAGUAUUGUGUACUAUUGUCUUACUCUGGGCUGCUUUGCAAAAAUACCAUACACUAGAUAACUUAUAAAAACAGAGAUUCAUUUUUCACUGUUCCAGAGGCUGAAAAAUAGUAAGGCUUGCUUUCUGGUUCAUACACACUUUCCUGUGUUUGUACAUGAUGAAAGGGGUAAACUAGCUCCCUUGGGUGUAUUAUUUCUUUUUAAAUAUAUUUUAUUUAUUUGAGAAAGAGCAAGUGAGAGAGAGAGAGAAAGAGUGAGCGAGUGAGAGCGAGCGCUGUCCUCCAUCUAAUGGCUCAUUUCCUAAAUGCCCAUAACAUUCAGGAUUUGGGUCAGUCUUGUAGCAGGAGCUGGGAAUUCAUUCCAGAUCUUCAGCAUGAGAGGCAGGAACUCAGUUACCUGAGCAUCACCUGAUUCCUUUCAGAGUCUGUAUUGGCAAGAGCUCCAAGUCUUCAGGAGCUGGAUCCAGGAAACAACGCCGGGCAUUCCAGUAUGGGACUCAGGCAUCUUAGCUUGUAGGCUGUUUGCCUGCUUCUGGGCCUAUUUGAUGAGAACCCUAAUUCAUUUAUUAUGGCUGUACUCUCACAAUCUAAUCACAUCACAAAGACCCCCCCCCCCACCUCCUAAUAUAUCAUCUUGGGGAUUAGGAUUUAAAUAUACAGAUUUUUUUGAGGGGGAAGAUGUAAACCUUCAUAACAUACAUCAGGUACAUUUGAUGUUUUUGCUGUCAUUUGUUUAUAUUACAAAAUAUUUAAAACAGUUGUCUUUUUACUGAAUAUUUAUCAUGUUUCAGGAACUAUGCUACCUUAUGUAAGUAACCCUCACAACCUCUGAGUGAGAUAGCAAUUUUUAUUCCAUUUCACAGAUAAGAAAAUUGAGGCCCCCAGAAGUUAAGCAAUAACUAAAUAAGUGUCAAAGUCAAAAUUCUCACCAGAUCUGCUAAGAUUUGCAGAUCUUUGUUCUUCAGCCCCUUUGGUUGCAUGGAUAUAUCACAGCUUAUGCUAAUCUACGCACUUUGAACCAAGCAAUAAGUUCCCAAACACAGUCAUCUGCAGAGGAACACUUAGGGAUAGGUGCUUGAGACAAUAAAGGAGGAAGUUAACAAUUAGCAUGAGUAGAAGAUAUUUUUGCUAGGAUUCAAAUUGAUUUCAGGGGAAGUUGCAAGUAAAAACUACAUUGCAAACUUUUCUAGAAAAACUGUAAAAUGAUCAAAGAGGAAAGCUUUCUUCAAUAUAGUAUUUAGUGUUGAUCUUAAAUUUCUACAGAUGUGAACAUAAGUUUAAUGAUAGAAUUGUACUACUUAUACCAAGUUUUUCUAUUUUGAAAAAAAUAUUUUUAUAGUUCUAUAACAUUUGGAUUUAGAAACUGGCACUAUUUCAUUUUUGUCCAGCACAUUUAAUUGAAAUUUAAGUGGUUUCAAAAACUGGUAAAUCUUUACUCUCUUAACUUGUUUCAAACGUUCAUUCAGUCAGGUAAUGUUUGAAUACCUGCUAUGGGUCAGACACUAAGAGAGGUGUUAGGGAGUUAAAGAAGACUUAGACCAAGGAGAGGCGGUCUGGUUUACUGUUAAGGGCUAUGGAAGCAUUAAUUUCAAAAAGAGUUAUUUUGGAGAGAGAGAUGUGAAGGAACCAGAAAUUCCUACAUAUAGUAGUGACACUUGAACUAGGUCUUGCACGAUGUAUUGUGAUGUGAUCAUGACACAGUUGAAUGCUUUUUGGCCGGGGUGCAUGAUUACAUUUGUGGGAAACAGCACUAUCAGAGAUGAAUUAGGAAAAUACACUGACUGUUGUGAUAAGUGGUAGGUGUUAUAACAAAACUUAGGACUUGGUGGUAGAAGAAUUGUUUAUAUUUAAGUCUUGAGAAGAAGGCAGAGACUAAGUUACUGAAUUUCUUGAGUGUCUUGAUAAGAAAUAAGGAAUUUUCUAGGUAAUGAGGAUCAUAGAAUGCAAUUUCAGCAAACGCAAAAUGUGACCGGUUUUUUUUAUUUGAGAAAUUAAGAAAAUACAGAAUGCUAAAAAGAAUAAUAACAUACCUAGAAACUGGCAAUUAACAUUUUAUUGAGUUGCUGAUGCUGCUUGAAGCAAAUCAGCUUUAAUCAACUUUAAGUUCUUAUAGUCUUGCAUUCCUAACAUCAUCCCAUUGUCUCCUUCCUGAGAUGACUGUAAUGAUGCUUUAAAAAAUACUUUAUCAGGAGUGGGCAUUUGGCUUAGUUAAGCCACUCUUGUCUCUUAAGGGAUGAUACUGGCUCUGCUCCUGAGUCCAUCAUUGUGCCAAUACAGACCCUGAAAGGUAGUGGUGAUCAGUUAUGGGAUUGCAUUCCUUCCAGCUCUGUGAGAGACUAGCUUAAGUUCCCAACUCUGUCUUUGGCCCUGGCCUGGCCAUGAGUGUUGUGCACAUUUGGAGAGAAAACCAGUGAAUGAGCACUUUGUCUCUCAAAUAGAUUAAUUUUAAAAAAUAACAUGCAUGUGGAUAACCAUGAACAACACAAAAGUAUUGCUGUGUUUGUAGUCACAUAUAAUUUAUAUGUGUUGUCAUAUGGUUAAAUAUUGGUCUCACAAAGUAUGUAACAAUUUAUAAUUUGCAUUUUACUUUUGUUUUUGAGAUCAAGCUAUAGUCAAUACGUAGAUUCUUUUUAAAUAUUAGUAUUCUAUUCUAUAUAUGUAUCUCCUUUUUAUGCAUUCCCUACUGAAAGACACUUAUAUUGCUUUCCGUGUUUCACUGUCAAAGGCAGAUAUAAAAUCCUUAUUCAAGUCUCCUGUACUUGUCUGUGAGUUUCUCUAGGGUAUCAUAAGGUAUGUACAAAUGUUUACCAGAUCAUACCAAAUUGCUCUCCAUUAGUAACUGAAAUAAUUUUAUAGGUAUAUCUCACUGUUGGGUUAUUAAAUCUUUUUUAAAAAGUCUUUCUGUUUAAUUAGCAUGUAAUAAUUGUGCAUAUUUAUGAGGUAUGGGGUGAUAUUUCAGUACAUGUGUACAAUGUGUAUUGACCAAAUCAGGGUAAUUUGCAUUUCUCUCAUUAUUUCUUUGUGUUUUGAGCCUUUGCCCUCCCUUCAAAGUGUAUAUAAAAUAUAUAAUGGGUUGUUGUGAUGUGUAGUCACUCCACUGUGCUGCGGAAUACUAGAACUUAUUCCACCUAUCUGUGUUUUGGUAUCUGCUGUGCAACUUCCCUUUAGACCCUCCACUGCCCCCUUUCCUACUUUCUAUAUACCCUUACCCCGACCUGUUCUACUUCAGGGUUGGAAUAUCAGUUCUUCUGAGGCUAGGGAGUGUGUGUAUCUUGUGUGUAUAUAGUUACCACCCCUAGUGGUGGCAUGAAAUGGACAUUUGUAAAUGUUGAUUUUGUGACAAAUGGUUACUACAGAAUUGAAUAUGCUUUUAAAAAUUUGUUUAAGGCCGGCGCCACAGCUCACUAGGCUAAUCCUCCGCCUUACGGCGCCGACAUACCGGGUUCUAGUUCCGGUCGGGGCUCCGGAUUCUGUCCCGGUUGCCUCUCUUCCAGGCCAGCUCUCUGCUGUGGCCAGGGAGUGCAGUGGAGGAUGGUCCAAGUGCUUGGGCCCUGCACCCCAUGGGAGACCAGGAGAAGUACCUGGCUCCUGCCAUUGGAUCGGCGUGGUGCACCGGUUGCAGCGCACCGGCCGUGGCAGCCAUUGGAGGGUGAACCAACGGCAAAGGAAGACCUUUCUCUCUGUCUCUCUCUCUCACUGUCCACUCUGCCUGUCAAAAAAAUAAAUAAAAAAAAGAGAAAAAUCUCUAAAAAAAAAUUUGUUUAAUUGAUCCUUGUUAAAAAUAAGAGUGGGAAUAAGAGAGGGAGGAGAUGUACAGUUCGGCACAUGUUCCCUUGAACUUAACCCUAAGGGUAAAGCUAAAAAUUUGCCGUGGAACUCCAAAUCCCAUUAAAUUGGCAGGUACCGAUGACAUCUUACUAGUUAAAGUGAUCAGUUUAAGUGCAUAACUGAUCAUAAAGAUAGGAAUAAGUGUCAAAGAGUUCACAUAAAAAAGACCAAGUGUCUGCUAAUAAUAAUAGAUAGAAUUAAAAAGGGGAGAAGGAUCCAACAUGGGAAGCAGGCCACAUAGCAGACUCAUAGAAUGACAAAUUCCCUAAACAGCACUCUGGCCUCAGAAUCAGCCCUUAAGGCUCGGACCUGGCUAAAAAGCCCAAGAGAACAUUUCAGGCAUGGAAAGCCAAGACACUGUGGCAAAAAAUGGCCUAAAUGAAAGAUCUAUGUGAGUGAGAUCCCAGUGGAAAGAACGGGCCAUCAAAGAAGGAGGUACCCUUCUCUGAAGGGAGGAAUUUCCUCUUUGAUUAUGACCCAGUCUAAAUAGUGUCAGAGUUUGUGGACUCAAGAGGCUUCAAUAGCCUUGGCAGCUCAUGACAAGAGCCUCAGGUGAUCACUGACGUCAUAAAUAAAGAGUGUCAAUUGUUAAAUCAACAAUUUAAAGGAGUCACUGUACAUUUACUCUCCAUGUAUGUAAGGCCUCUGUCCUUAAUGAGUUCUAUUAUGAGAAUUAAUGUUAAACUUGUCUUCAAAUAGUACUUUAUACUUUGUGUGUCUGUGUGGGUGCAAACUGUUGAAAUCUUUACUUAGUAUAUACUAAGCUGAUCUUCUGUAUAUAAAGAUAAUUAAAAAUGAAUCUUAAGAAUGGGAUGGGAGAGGUUGUAGGAGGUGGGAUGGUUUCGGGGUGGGAGGUCAGGUAUGGGGGGAAAACUGCUAUAAUACGAAAGUUGUACCUAUGAAAUUUAUAUUUAUUAAAUAAAAGCUUUCUAUAAAAUUUUUGUGAAGAUUUAUUUUAUUUAUUUGAAAGACAGAGUUACAGAGAGAGGUAGAGACAGAGAGAGAGGUCUUCCAUCCGUUGGUUCACUCACCAGAUGGCUGCAAUGGCCGGAGCUGUGCUGAUCUGAAGCCAGGAGCCAGGAACUUCUUCCGGGUCACCCACAUGGGUACAGGGGCCCAAGGACUUGGGCCAUCUUCUACUGCUUUUCCAGGCCACAGCAGAGAGCUGGAUCGUUAAAGGAGCAGCCAGGACUAGAACUGGCACCCGUACGGGAUACUGGCGCUUCAGGCCAGGGCAUUAACCCACUGCACCACAGCGCCGGCCCAAAUAUUUAUUUCUUUAAAUAUAUUGGAGUCAUACUUUCAAAAGAAGAUACAGUGGCUGGUGUUUGGUGUAGCAUUUGACACUGCUUGUGAUACCCACAUCCCGUAUCAGAGACCUAUGUUCAAGUUACUGCUCCACUUCCUGCUAAUGCACAUCUUAACAGGCAGCAGAUGAUGGCUUGGGUACAUGGGUACCUGCCACCCCCGUGGGAGACAUAGAUGGAGUUCUAAGCUGCUAGUUUUGUCCUGGCUCAGUCCUGGCUGUUGUGGGCAUUUUGAGAGUGAACUGGUUUAUGAAAAGUGUUUCUCAAUCUCUGUUUCUCUCUCUCUCUCUUUCAAAUAAAUAAAUUAUUUUUAAAAAGAAGAGGAAUUUGAAUACAUAGAUAAAAGCUUAAAAUAGUUUAAGGAAGCAGUCUCUUUCUGAUUUUUUUAAGCAAGUAAAUUUCUUUGAUCUAGUUACCAUAUUAAUGUCAUUUUUUUUGUGUGUGUGUAUCAGCUUGAUCCAGAUAAAGUAAUUAAUGUGCUCAAGGAAUAGUUUUGGGACAAAAACUGGAAUAUAAUUUGUUCAAGUCAGAAUUCUGUUGACUUAUGUAUUAUUGUUAAUGAAGUUGGUUUUAUUUUUUUGAAGUGGUAUUUGAAAGAGCUAUUUUAAUUAAAAACAAAUUAUUUGACAAGAUCAUUCAAUCUGAGAGAGAAAUACAUUUUUACUCAUUAUACAUUCUUUUUCUGAAUCUUACUCUGUUAUUCUCUUUUUAAUCUAUUGGUGUAUUUCCUUUUGGCUGCCUUUUUAAUCUAAAAUAUAUUUUGAUAGGAAGAUAAGCAGAUUGUAAUCUGUCAUUGAAAGGCAUAGAAUAUGGUAAAGAAUGAGUGUGUGUGGGUGUGUAUUUUUUUCUUUCCCUGUGUGGCAAUGUCAUAAAGAAGUCAGGCAGUGCCUUAGACAGUAUCCAAAUAACUUCUAUUUUUAAUGCUUUAAUUUUUUUACUCUACAGAUUUACCUUCUUAAUUAUAUUCAUUUUAGAAUUCAAAAUUAGUUCACAAACUCCAGGAAACCAUCAACUGAUAAUAGGAAAUACACAAAAUGUAAACAAGAUCUCAGGAGGAAGCUAACCUAGUAUUAAAAGCUCUUAGCAAUAUACUCCAAUGUAGAUAAUGAAGAAUUUGUAUAUGGCUAAAAAUAAUACUCCAAAUAAUAUUUAAAUUUUAUUUAUUUUUCUUUUUUUUUUCUGGACCAAAUUCUAGAUUUGUUAUUUUGAGUUUAAAAUUUAGUUAGUUAUUCCUAGUGUUAUAAUUCUUUAGCCGGUGUUUCCCUUACCCCUUAUUUAUAUUCUGCAAUUUAAGUACAUUUUAAAAAAAUAUGUGAUUUUUAUUUCUUGUCUCUAAGAAUUGCAUUUUUAAAACUCAGGAUGAUUUGGAGCAAAUUAAAAUAUCUUUCAGAUAUAAAUGUGAAAGUGCUGUCUUGAACUUUAACUCCCAGUGUUGACAACAGAUAGUGGAUUGAGAUAGAGUCAAGUCAUUAGGCUUUAGCAAAUGGAAAGUUUAUAAGGUUAGAUGGUGGUGGGAUGCAGGAAGUAUAUUAAGCCUGUCAUUUAUGAGUACGUGUUCCUCAGCUACCUUUUUAUCCUGUCAGUCAACAAGUGAGAUGUAUUGUUUGAGUCUCGGGAGUUUGGGCUUAUGCUUUUAUUUAUCCACAGUAAUGAGGUGGUAAGGUUUUAGGUUAUAUAAGACUUAAUCCCAUUUGUUUUAGUGAUGAGGCAUAAGGGAAGGAAAAUUAGCUUAUCUUCCAUUUAUAAAAAAAGAUUUGUCUUUCUGACUAUAGUUUAUAACUACGGUUAUACCUAGCUCUCAAGUCCUAGGAUGCACCUUUUCCAUCAUUUUGUUGUCAUGAUAAAAAAGAUACAGUUUUGUGAAAGUCCUGUGCCACUUGGGCUUUCACCAGGCGAUCCUCUCUUCAGGCAAAAGUUGUACAGUUUAUGUUCCUAUCUACACCUGUGUGGUAAGGACCGUUCCUGUUAGUGCUGCAGCUUUUCCUUACUCAUAUUGUGUAGGGUGUCUUACUUUGCUAUAUUUCUUGAAAUUCUUUUUAAAGGUCUAAAUGGGAGGUUGGCUGAUGAGCAGUAGAAAGAUGAAUAGUCAUGAAAGUGUUUGGGUGAAUUCUUUUUCUUUGACUGUCUUCUGGAUUUUAGUGGCUGAGAAGUUUAAAAACCAGAUGUUUACUUUUUUCCUAACCUCCUUUCUGUGGCAUGUUAUUUUGUGUGGCCCACAUCUAGAUUACAGUAAUAAUAAGCAUUUUUCUUUGGUGACUGCCUUCCUUCAUUGUUUUGUUUUCUAAAGUAGAAGUGAUCAUGUUAUAUCAGCACAGUUUGGGGACAGAAAGAUUGUAGUGUCUACUAUCAUAUUUUUAUUGGCUAUUUUUAUCUGAACAGAGAAUCUAGGUAUUUAUCAUUCAUUUUAUAAGAUAUAUAAAUGAAUCUUUUGAAAAUCUGUAAUCCAAAAAAGGCAAUUGUAUAUCAGAGUCCUUAAAAUUGAGCCAUAUUUGAAUGAUUAUUUUUAUCUUUUAUUUUGCUUUUAUUUUAUUUUGCUUUUAUUUAUUUUGCUUCUUGUAAAAAGGAAGGUAUGUAUUUAUAUUCUUUACAGUUUAAAUGUCUGUGUGAAUGCCUAAAGAUUAUAAACUUAUGUGCAUCAUGUUCUGUUAGCUUUUCUGCUAGUAGAAUUAGGUUAUGCUGUGAUUUAUAGAUUCUCUGAAUGGGAAUAAAAAUAUAAUUACAUACCUUUUUUUUGCUAGGUUAAUAUUUCCUUUGAAGAUUUUGAAAAGAAUAUGUGAAAUAUCAAACUAUAAAAUUAAGUUUUUGAAGGGUACAAGUUUAUGCAUAUAUACACAAACUAACAUAUUCAUAAGCCGGUUUUUCUUCAUAUGUAAUUGUAGGCAAUUCUAUUCUGUAAUCAAGUAUGUGUCCUGUAAAUUAUUUUAAGCUUCCUAGGAAAGAACUUAAUGGAAAAGUGUAUGAAAGGCAAAACUUCCUUAUGUAUUCCACUUAAUUGAUUCAUAAUCUAAGGCAUUUCCAGAGGUUGACUUUUAUUUAUUAUGUGCACAACCCAGGAGUGCUCUUGCUGAAAUACAAAUUCAUCAUUUCAGAAAUCUGGAGUGGCUCACAUCAAAGAUUUCCCUAGUUAUUAGUCUCCAUCUCAUUAGUUUCUCUAUUUGUCCAUUCAGUUAUCUUCAUUUCUUCUUUUCAUCUGGCUUUCUUCCAGUAUGUGUUCAUUAUCUUUAAGCUCAGAUCCAUGUUAUUUUUUCUCUAACAUUUGAGAAUUCCACAAUAUUUAUUACUUUCUCAUAAUUUCAGCCUCCUGUAUUUAAUUAUGUCUUACUAAUUUGUUGAUAAUUUGAGGGUUUGUGUUUAGUCAUGUCUCUCAGUGUAACUCCUUACAAAUAUGGGUAGGAUUAUCUUUUAUUAAAACCUAUAUACAGUAACUGAGUAUAUAUUUUUCAUGUUUUGAUAAAUGAAUAAUUGUUAGGACUUCUUAAUGAAAUUUUUCUAUAUAAAAUUGUAAAUUUUCUGAAAAGGACUAUCAGUGAAAGUGAAUAGUAUAUACUAAAAUCCUUUGGUCUAUUGGGAAAAAAUUCUUUUUGAAACCAGGAAAAAAGUUUCUUUAAAAUCACAUUCUAAAAAUAAUACAGCAGUAACUUACAUAAAUGUUAUUUAUACUUCAGUAUAUAUGUGAAAUUAUAGCUUUUAGGACAUAAGAUUCAAUUUUGAUUAACAAUUGAAUUGGUAAAAUAUUUGUUUCAUUCUGUAAGUCAAGAGAUUCUUCAUUGGUGUUGAUACCAAAAUAAUGGCAAAAAUAAUUUGAGGAAGUAAAAUCCCAUAAUAUUCUGUUCAAGAAUUAAGUAGUUUUUUAGGUAAUGAUUUCUUAAAAGUAUUUAAACUAAUUACUUUAAAUUAAAACUUUAUUAUUGCAAAAUACCUAUUGCAUUUUUUCAUUUUUGGUUUACAGCCUAUUGAAAAUAUUUGGUAUGUUUCAACAUUUCCACUAAUGUAUUUCCAGCCAGGUUUUGGACAAAAAUGUCUUAAGAUUUCUAAGAAACAUAGUUUAUUCUUUUAUUAUAUUUUAAUUAUUGCAAAGGUAAAAGUUACCUUGUUCAAUUUGUUUUAAAAAGUUUGACUUUAUUCAAUUACAAAUAGAUAAAUUAAAUAUGAUAUUUAAUAUGUAUCUUGAUUGCCUGGUACCAACAAAGUACACCAAACAUACGUGGCAUUAAAUUUAUUUCAGAACAUUGCAUUACUCGAGAGUAGUAUGUUUUACUGGAGUUACACUGACAAGUGAUUUUUAAGAAUAGCGCAAUAAAAUUUUUGGUUUAUAAUUUCAUAAGUUCUUUCCAUUUAUUUUAUUAUCUUUUUUCUCUAGUACUCAUUAUGUUCUAACAGUUUUAUAGAUAUCUUGAUAGAAUGAUUAUUCAUUUUUUGGAGGAUUGACAUUUGGAAAGUGAGAGAAUAUAUUGGACAAGUGUUGGAUUAUUUGUCAUUGGAUUGCAUUGCAUAUUUUUCAUCUACAAGUGGUAUCUUUUACUAGUAUACCCAUGUGGCUUUCUUCAGUAAAGUUAGCCCACGUAUAUCAAUGUUAAAUUCUAUUUAAAACAAUAUUUUAAAAUAUACUUUAUAUUACUAUGGUUUUUGAUUACAAAAGAAGAGCUUUGUUAAAAAAAGAUAUAAUUACGCUUUCUAAUCAGUAUAAGAACAGAUCGUUUUUCACAUUUCUCUCCUAUUGUGAGUAAUGAUUUUUGGUCUAGUGAAGUUCAUUAGUGUAGAGUCACAGAUAAUUCUUGAGACAUGGGUACCUUCCUCCUUUAUACAUUUCUUCAGCUGUUGUAGAAAUGAACUUCCUCCAGUUACUGGAAUAGACUUGUAAUCACCUUAAUGCUUAUACUCUACUUCUGAGCUUCUGUAAUCUUCAAUAUUAAGUAUUUGUUUAUAUGUACUUUAUUACUACACUUACAUUAAAUUUGCACAUAAUUUUUGCUGAUCAUUUAUUUCCUUCUAAUGGCGCUCCUUUAAAAAAAUUAAGAGUCCUGCUACUUAAAAAGCAAUAAAAUAGUGUCUUAACCUUGAAAGUGAACUCAGGCCUCUAAACCUGCUUCCUUCAAAUCCCUUUAUUGCGUGCAUGAUAAUGUGUCAUCUACAUGUGUGUGUAUAUUGUAUGGAGGUAGUAUUAUUUUCAAGAACUCAUAAAAUAUUUAAAUAGUAUUUGAAAAAUUAUGAGUAAAAUGAUAUCACAGUGAUUUUUGAGUAGAUUUUUCUAAUUGGUGGCAUUUAAAAAUGACUUAUUAAUGCCUUUUAAAAAGGUUUCAUAUACUCACUGAAUUAUUUGAACAGUAAUCAGUAGCAUUUAUUUUCAGUACUAACUUAUUCUCACACCAGAUUUGUGUGGGAAUCUGUAGUUUAACAAUUGAAAUGAUUACCUCUUGUGAAUAUGUGAAUUGUUUUAAAGAACUGUCUCAGUUUUAUCCGAUGAAUGGAAAUAUCCACUAAGCAAUAAAACUUUUCGUAAAACUUCUCUAGUUUCCUUUACUAUUAACAUGCUGUUUGACAGCUGGCCUUUACUAAUCACACUGGGUUUGAAACUUUUUCCUUAAAGCUUUGUAGUUGAAUUAUAAUACGUUGCAUCCUUUGUUUUCUCAUGGAAAAGGAUUUAAACAAACUUUCUAUUGCACUUGUUGAAUAUGUAUUUCAUAGUAACCACCAUGAAGUUUGCAGCAUUUAAGAAGAUGAAGAAGCAAAGAUAAAAGAUACACAUUCAAGAAGGCUUGGUUUCACAGUUGGCGCAUAAUCCUUCUGCUGUCAUUGGUACCCUAACCCUGUACCUACCAGAACAAAAGAAACUGAAUUGAAAAUUGUGGGAGCUGGGGAACAUUCAGUUGGCAGCACAUCGCAUGGCCCAUAGGCGGUGUCAGGUCUCAGUUUGAUGUCCUUUAUUCUUUCUGACAGAUGUGAGGUAAGGUCUAUGAAGGGGAAGUCAUUACUAGAGAGAGGGCAGUGUCAGAUCAAAAGUAACCAGUGAUCAAACAAGGUAAAGGGCUGUGGAAAAUAGGCUCUCUUUCUGGCCUCAACACCUGCCUGAUCACUGAAGGGAAUAGUCCUGAUGUGUCAGGGCAAGUUGAUUUUCUUUGAUGUACAGUGAAUUAGAAGUCAGAAUGGAAGCUUAACUGGAGUACAGAAGAUAUUUACUUACUAGUUCUUGGGCAAUUUGAGUGUUUAAAUUUUUUACUUUAAUAAACUAGAAGUUUUAGAAGUCACUUUAUUGAAUAAAAUAUUAAAAUGUGCCUAUAUUUACUUUGUUAUUACUACAUAUUUAUAGCUAAUACUAGUAAGAACAUUUCAACACAGUAUGGGAUAGGCUCUAGAAGUCAACAGAGUCUUCACUUAUCAAGCAUCUAAUUAUAACUUUAGAUCAUUUAUGUAAUUGUAAAAGCACUGAGCUUUGCACAUAAUAGGUGGCCUUGUAGCAAAAUUUCAGAAGUUUCCUUGCUAUGUACUUCUGAAUACAUUUGAAUUAACUCUUUGCACUUAAGUAUGUUAUAUUUUCUUUGAAGGCAACCCUUUCUAAUAAAGUCAGUUCAAAGAAAAUUUAAGGAGACAAUCUCAUUGGAUUUUACAUAAGUGGUGUUUUCUCUAGCUCUUUUAUAUUUAGAGGUAUGUGACUAGAAGUCUGGAAGAAUCAUAUUUUUAUCUUUCAUUAGCUUGUUGUGUGGGUAAUUUACAAAGUAUAUUCUAAAAAUUUCAGUUAUGUUGUUUUCCUUCACAAUAAGAGCAAAUAUUUGACCUCUGCUAUGUGUGAGUUUCGUUUGUUGAUGUUUCCAAUACUAAUGCAUUUUAUCUAGACUCAAAAGUAGUUAAUAGUCAUUUUGUUUCAGAUCAUAAAAGUAAGGAUUUAUUUGAAAUUACUUAUUUUAUUUUCAAUCAGAAGAAUAAAGAAUCUUAGUGCCUGAGCCUUUUAAAAUGAAUCUAAAUUUAGUAAUUUGUCUGUCUGUUCAUUUUUAUGUGAUGUCCCAUGUUUGUUUGUGAUAAUUUUAGGUAAUUGAAAUCCUCUUCCUUUAAAAUUCAGAAAUAAAAACAUAAAAACAUAUUAUAUUCACAUUUAGUGUUUGACUUGCAGACUGUUAAUUGUAAAUAUACUUUAUGCUUGGCAAAUUUCAGAAUUAGAUUGUGAACAUACUUAUCAAUACUCAUAUAGUUUGACUUUUAAGCUAAAUUUGCUUAGAACUUAUUAUUAAAUAUGUUUUGCUUAGUCACCCAUUUUAAAGUAGUUUGACUUAGAAGUACUUUUUGGCAUUGAGUUAUGUAUAUUAUUUUUAUCUUGUUUAUUUCAUCCAGAAUAAAAUAUCUUGUAAACUAAAGUUCUACACAUAUUUUUGAAGCUUUUUGAAGCUGAAGAAAUUUUAAUGUAGAUUAAUUGUAUAAUCUAUUAGUUUACACUGAUUUUUGUUCUUGAUUGUUUCUGUAACAUUUUUUCCUGAACUGUGAAAGGAAGACUGUAAAUUGAUGUCAAUAUGGUAAUUUUACUGAUUCAUGAAGAAUGAUUUAGAGUUUCAUUUUCUGAUAUUCCGUUCAUUCUGAGUGUGUGUGAAAGAUUAGAGUUUGCAGAUACUUUAAUAUUAACAUUAGAAAGGAAUAUUUAUGAAAGAAAUUUCUGUAAGUAAAAAUUUUUAAAAUGAACCAUAGCAACAUAGAAUUUUACUAGUCAAAAUCAUUGGUUCAUAGCAUACUGUCAUCAUUAAUCUAGACAUGAUUUAUGUUGUGCAAGUUAAUUUAUCUAAAAGUUAUUUAACAUUUACUCAGGAACCUCUAUGUUCAUUAUAAACUAAAAGACUACCAAUAACUUUAUCUACCCCUGCAUUCCUCUCUCGUUUCAUCUCUGGAUCCCUCCAGAGGUAAUCAGAAAUAACCAGCAGCAACCACUGUCCUGAUUUUUAUGUUUUGAAAUCCUUUCCUGUUUUGUUACUUAUGUAUAUUUGCACAUGCAAUAAAUUGUUUAGUUUUUUACUCAUUUUCAAUCAAAUUUCUAAAUAAUCAUUGAUGAAUUGAGAAAACUGCUUUAACAGAUAGUUUAAUAUAUUAUUUAAAAGGGAUAUAAUGUAACAAAUUAAUCUAAGGGAAGUAUGUUUCUGAAUUUAAACUUGAUACAGUCCAUAUCUAAUUUUAAGAUAUUCUGUGCUAUAGUUCUGCAUUGUUUCAGAUUUUAAGAUGCAUAUAAGGUAUCUGUAUGUUGGUUUCUUGCAUUUUGUAUCUUCCAUUUAUAAAUUUUACUCAUAUCUAUGCAAAUAUCAGUUUAGUAUGGAGGUAAGUGAAUGUUGUGCUUAUCAGAUGACUUCUAUAUUUUAUUUACUAGGCUAUAAGGUCAUCAAUAAUUUAUUACAUCUAACUAGUCAUGUUUCAUAAGGAUAAAAUAAAUGUAGUAAACUUAUUUGAAAUGGAAAUAAUAGUCAAUAAUAGCGUUUCUGAGAGGAAAAAAGAAAAAAUGUGGAAUAUUUAUGUUGAUAAGAAAACUUUUCCUGAUUUCAGAACUAUCAAUCUGCAGAAAAAUAGGUUCCCUCACCCCAGUUUAGUUAAUUAAUUACUGGCUCUGUAUUGGUCUAAUACAGAGUUUUGGUGAAAUGCGCUGUGCAGGAUAAAAAUAUUUGUGAUGAGGACACAUCAGGUAUAUUAUAUUAUUUAUGUGAUCACAUAAUAUUGUAUGACAUCAUGGCCAUCGUAGUUUGUGUAAAUACUCUAUGAUGUUGGCACAACUACGAAAUCUCCUAAUGUAGACAUCAUAGAUUGCAUUUAUACAAACUUGAUGUGGUCACAUGGUGUGACUUCUUGAUGGAGUCAAGUGACAUGGCAAGCAUGAAAUGUGUAAGAUUGAUGCUGGCAUAACAGUGGUACUAUUUCAUAGUUAGCUUUUUUCUUCAUAAGUGGGAGUAUAAUUUAAAGUAAUGAUAAAAGUAUAGUAAAUACACAAGCCAGUUACAUAGCCUUUAUUAUUAUUAAGUAUGAUGUCCGAUACAUAAUUGUAUGUGGUAUACUUUUCUGCCAUGAAUGUCCACUGUCCACAAACACAUGAGUAGUGAGUGUGUUUUUGCUGUGACACAAUGGCUAGGACAGUUGGCAUAAAGUGUUUCGAGUUGUAGUUGAAAAACUUGAUUGCAUUGAAAUUCUGUAUUCUUUAAUGUGAGCGGUGUCUAAAUAAGCAAAAUAGCACUCCCUUGCAUGAUUUUUAAAAGUUUCAAAGAGUUUUCUCAGUGUAGACCAAUCAUUUGGACAAUUUAAUGGGAAAAACAUUAUCACAUGGUCUAGAGCAAUGAUUGAGUUAUGAUGUCUGGGAGAAUAGAAAAAUAAGUGAAACAUAAAUUAAGAGAGUGAUGUGACACUAUAUUUUAAAAAUCUGUAUUAAAAGCUUGAAAAGUGAUAUAAUCUUGGAAAAUAUAUUCUCUUUGGCUACUUUAUAGUUUCUAGCUACAUGAGUCAGCAUUUUUUUCUAAGUCCAGUCUCCUACCAUUCACUUGUUCAUUCCUUAAGCAUUUAUUGAGUUCUAACCAAAUAUGUAUCACUGUGAUUCCUAAUCUCCUUUUUCCAUCAGUGUCAUGCCAGUUCACUUUAUAGUAACUCUUAACUAACAGGAGUAAUUUCUUUCUAUCUUGUAUCUUCCUGAGUGCCUGCUGGGGAAGAUAGUAAUAUCUCUCUGUCAAGACCAUUGCUCUAGACCAUGAACUCUCUUAUCCUGUCAUGUAUUAGAUACUAUGUAUUGCGAGUAAGAUUUUGAAAUUGUGACAUUUACAUAAUACUUAAUUUAUUAAUAAUGAUAACCUCUAAGUUACUUUGCCUUAGUUACCUAAUUAAUGUGAAAUAUUUUGAAGAUUAAAAUUGAAGAAACCACUUAAUAGUAUAAAAUGUGACAUAAAACUUACAGUGACUUGUUACGAUUUUUUUUGAUAGAGAUGCUCAGCUGUUAAAGACUGUUUGAACUGCAGUAGUACUUGGGUCUUGCUUUGGUAGCAGUACUUGAAGAAUUAAACAUUAUGAAUUGAGUUUUGGGAUUAUUCCUUUGAGUUGUUUUGUUAUUAAAAUAUUGUUAAGGACAUUGUCCAGUAUACCCUACAGAGUCUUCACUUAUGGGAACCCUCACUUAAAUAUUCUGUCCCAUCUCAUUAAUUGGAAAAGCUAGACUUCUGAUCAGUUGUUUCCCUUUAUUAUGUUAAUACUGUACAUUUUAUAAAAGAUAUAUAGAGGUACUUUUUCCUCUGUGACAUUUUUGAAAAUAAGAAACAGUAAUCCAUUUAGGGCAGAAUUCAGGAAUUCCCGUUUUUGUUAAAGGAUAGCAGUUUUUAAAAACUAAUUUUCCUUUUACCUUAAAUUUAUUUCAACUAAUUUUUUUCCUAUGGAGUAUAUAUUCAAAAGGAACUGCUUCCUUUUUGGAAAGAGACUAGAUGUACCUACAUACAAAUGGAAAUACUUACGUUAAGUACAUACCUAAAUACAAAUACAAGUAUUUACAUAGACACAUUUAAAUUUAAAAGCCUUCUUUUUAAAAACUUUAUUGAUUUUUAUUUAUUUGUAAAAUGCAGAAACACACAGAGCUUACCCAUCCACUGGUUCACUCCCUAAAUGUCUGUAACAGUGAGGGCUAGAAUAGAAUCCUUAAUAGAACAGAUAAGUAAAAAAUGAAAAUGAAAGCCUUCUGCUAAUCUCUCUGGUGAUUAUUUUUAAAAAAGUUUUAAAAUAUAAACAUGCUUCUCUCAGUAACUCUUUUAAAAAUUAUACUACAUAAUUUCUUCCACAGCACUUGAUUAUUGAUAUAUAAAUAUAUGUAUAUGUACAUAUAUAUAUAUGUACAUGCACACAUACUUUGGCUCUUUUCUUUUCCAAUAAUAGCCAUAAAUUUUAAUGGAUUUCUGUCACAUGUUCAUUUGUACCCUUUUAAUGUUGUCUUGUUAUUUUGAAAAUACCAGAAAAGUAUAUCUUCUCUACAUACUAUCCUUAAUUUUCAUUCUUUUAAGUAAUGACUAUUUCUGUUGCUGUGAUUUUUUUUGAGAACAUUAAGUAAUUUAACCCCUUGAGGUAGAGAGAAGGGUAACUAGUUAGAUUUAAGAUGCUUUAAUAGUGUCCUUAAUUUUCAUUCUUUUAAGUAAUGACUAUUUCUAUUGCUGAGAUUUUUUUUUAAAGAUUUUUAUUUAUUUUACAGGUAGCAUUACAGUGAGUGAGAGAGAGAGAGAGGGAGAGCUAGCUAGAGAGAAAGGUCUUCCUUCCGUUGGCUCACUCCCCAAAUGGCCGCCAUGGUUGGUGCUGCGCCAAUCCGAAUCCAGGAGCCAGGUGCUUCUUCCUGGUCUCCAUGCGGGUGCAGGGGCCCCAAGCACUUGGGCCAUCCUCCACUGCCCACCCGGGCCACAGCAGAGAGCUGGACUGGAAGAGGAGCAACCAGAACUAGAACCUGCUGCCCAUAUGGGAUGCCAGCGCCACAGGCAGAGGGUUAACCAAAUGAGCCAUGGCACAGGCUCCAAGAUUUUUUUUGAGAUCAUUAAGUAAUUUAACACCAUGAGGUGGAGAGAAGGUUAACUAGUUAGAUUUAAGAUGCUUUAAUACUAUCCUUAAUUUUCUUUCUUUUAAGUAAUGACUUCCUGUUGCUGUGAUUUUUUUUUGAGAUCAUUAAGUAAUUUAACACCUUGAGGUAGAGAGAAGAAUAACUAGUUAGAUUUAAGAUGCUUUAAAAAUGACAGAAACUAGGGUUGGGCAUUUGGCCUAGCAGUUAAGACCAUGCUUGGGGGUGGGGGUGGGGGGUAGUGCUGUGACAUAGAAAGUUAAGCCUCCCUGUGCAGUGACAAUGCACUGCUCUGCUUCCGGUCAGUCUCCCUGCUAUUGUGCCUGGGAAGGCAGUGGAAGAUGGCACAGGACCUUGGGCCUCUGCAUAUGGAAGACCUAGAAGAAGUUCCUGGCAUCUGGCUUUGACCUGAUCCAGCCCCAUACAUUUGAGGAGUGAACCAGUGGAUGGAUUAUCUCUUCCUCUCAUUUUCUUUCUCUCUCUGUAUUUCUGACUUCAAAUAAAUGAAAAAAAAAAAAAAAAGAUCAUGCUUGGGGUGCUUGCUUCCCAUAUCACACUGGCUGGGUUUGAGUCUCAGCUCCAACUUCUGCUAAUACAGACCCUGGGAGGCAGCAGGUGAUGACUCAAAUAAUAUUGGAUCCCUGCCAUCUCCAUGGGACACUUGGAAUUGACUUUCCAGUCCCAGCUUUGACUGCUACAGGUGUUUUGGAACUGAACCAUGACACGAGAAUGGAGCAAUUUCUGUCUCUGUCCCUCUGCCUUUCAAAUAGGAUGGAUACACACACACACACACACACACACACUCAUACAUAUGUAUGUAACAUAGACAGCCUCUAUACAAAAUUGAUCUCUGUACUCAUGUCUUUAGAGAAUAUAUUUUUCUAAUGAGAUGUAAUUGAUAUUUUUCUUUGGGGUGGACUAGAAAAAGACCCAUAAUAAUAGAUACGUCUUGUUACUUUCAUCAAGAUGUUGUAGAAAGAUAAUUUUUGUAACAGGUAUAGAUUCUAAUUCCAGUGUUAACAAUUUUUUAAAAAGAUUCAUUUAUUUAUUUACUUGAGAGGUAGAGUUACAGAGAGAGGGAGAGACAGAGAGGUCUUCUAUCUGCUGGUUCAUUACCCAAAUGGCUGCAUGGCUGGAGCUGGGCUGAUCCGAAGCCAGGAGCUUCUUCUGGGUCUCCCACAAGGGCCAUCCUCUGCUUUCCCAGACUAUAGCAGAGAGCUGGAGUGGAAGAGGAGCAGCUGGGACUAGAACCAGAGGCCAUAUAAGAUGGUGGUAUUGCAGGCAGCGGUUUUACCUGCUAAGCCACAGUGCCAGACCCCUGUGUUACUAUUUUAUAAGUUGUGAUUUCCUUCUUAAGCAGUGAGUUAAGUAUUAGAGCUUUUCUUUUUGUUUUUAAACAUUUGUUUAUUUAAUUGAGAGAGUUACAUAGGAGAGGCAGAGAGAGAGAGAUAUCCUUCCUUCUCCAGAUCACUCCCCAGAUGUCUGCAACAGCCAACGCUGGGCCAUGCUGAAGCCAGGAGCUUCAUCCCGGACUCCUACAAGGGUAUAGGUGGGGCAAGGAACUCAAAUGUUUGGGCCAUUCUCUGUUGCCUUUCCCAGGCCAUUAGCAGGGAGCUGGAUCAGAAGUGCAGUAGUUGGGACAUGAACCAGAGCCCAUGUGGAAUCAAGCAUUGCAGGUGGCAGAUUAACCUGUUACACCAUAACGCCAGUCCCAGAGUUUUAUUUUCUUAUGUAAUGUUUGUAGAUGAGGAUAUCUACUUUGGUUGUUGAAAAUAUUAAGUGGCAUCAGAAGUAUAUGUAAAUUCUUGACAUCUUGGCAACUAGCAGUUGUUCACAAAAUGCUAGCUUCCCACCUGUCUUGCUGACUUCCAAACUAUCAUUUCUGUCUCUUCAUGACCAAAGGAAACCUAGAAAUAUUGACAGAGCUUUGCUGGUAGCGAAUGCUGUGCUUACUGAAAACUUGGCAGAAGUAGAAAUAUCUAAUGGUUGGUUUAUGUGUUUGAAAGAGUGUAGUGAACUUUUCAUCUUGUGGGGAAUUUCUAGGAGUUAUUUUUAACCAGUAGUGUUUGCUUGCCCUUUCAAAACAUUGUCUAUACUUGUAAACAUCUUUUUAUGUUUUAUUCCUUGUAACUUAUUUACAAUGGUUAUUACAGUCUAUUACUUUUUCCAUUGGGUAGGUAUCAUUUUCUUUGCCAUGAAUCCUCAUACAUAGCAAUGAAACUCUUAUUAAAUGGAGACUUCUGAGCUCAUUAUGUAUGAGCUGCAUCAUAUCAUUUAUAACUCAUUGGAGAGCAACUAACAGAAAACUUGACCCCAGUUGGUUAACAAUAGAAGGUUAUUGUUGGAACCGAUAACUGGACUGUGUAGGCUCUAAGGUUCAGUUAAUUUAGUGUCUCAUUUCCACUGUGCACUUUGGAAGUGAUCCUUUUUGACUCUUGGCUAAUUUUCUGUUAGGUCAGCUUUAGUUAAGCCUGAAUUCACUUGUGGUUCAUAAGUUAUUUAUUUAUAUUUUUUGACAGGCAGAGUUAGACAGUGAGAGAGAGAGACAGAGAAAGGUCUUCCUUUUGCCGUUGGUUCACCCUCCAAUGGCCGCCGCAGCUGGCACACCGCGCUGAUCCGAUGGCAGGAGCCAGGUGCUUCUCCUGGUCUCCCAUGGGGUGCAGGGCCCAAGGACUUGGGCCAUCCUCCACUGCACUCCCUGGCCACAGCAGAGAGCUGGCCUGGAAGAGGGGCAACCGGGACAGAAUCCGGUGCCCCGACCUGGACUAGAACCCGGUGUGCCGGUGCCGCAAGGCGGAGGAUUAGCCUAGUGAGCCACGGCGCCGGCCCGGUUCAUAAGUUAUUGACAGUAGCUAGGUGCAUUUUGUGUGUGAUUUUGUCUCAUAGUUUAUUCCUUUUUAUUGUAGAGUAGUAUUCCAUUAUAAGGACAUAAAACAUUUAUUUACCUGUUAAAAGACAUUUGGGUUGUUUCCAGUUUUCAAAUAGUACAUAUAAAGAUGCUAUGAACAUUUUCGAACAAGUGUUUGAAUGGACAAAAGCUCAUUUCUCUUGAGUAAAUACAGAUGAGUGGGGUGGCUGGGUCUUAGGAUAAUUGUAUGUUCAACUUCAACUUUGUGAGAAACUGUCAGAGUUUUACAAAGUGAUUGUGCCAAUUAUCCUCCCAUGAGCAGUGUUUGAGAGCUCUGUUUGUACUUCAUACAUAGCAACAGGUAGUGGUAACUUUUUAAUUUAGCCAUUCUAAGUGGAUAUGUUUUUAUAUUAAAUUUGGUUUUGAUUCUCAGUGGUUAUACUGGUUAUCCCUACUGUCUAAAUGAUGUUGACCACAUUUUAAUGUGAGUGUUAGGUAUUACUCUCUUCUUUUAAGAUGUGUCUACACAACUUGUUUUUUUUUUUUUUUUUUUAGAAUUUAUUGCCUUCUCAUCAAGUUCUUUAUAUGUUUGUGUUGUAAUUUCUUUUGUUAUAUAUGCAUUGUAAUUGCUUUUUUCAUGCAUAGCUUUCCCUUUUGUUUUUAUGAGGUUUUUGAAGAACAGAAGGUUUGAAUUUUGAUGGGGUAUGUUUUAUCCAUGGUAGAUGCUUUUACAUUUUGUCUAAAAUCUUUUGACAGAGUUAGUUGUUUUUCUUUAUAAUUGUUGGUUUAUCGUGUUCCUCCACUUGAAAACUCAGUGGAAGUAGGAAGGUUGUCUGCUUUGUGUACUGCUGUGUCUUCCCACCUGCAAGAGUGUUGGGUACUUGGUAGUUGCUCAAAAAUGAUUUUUGGAAGAGUGGAUUUUUUUAGCAGACUAUAAAAGAUUUUUUUGGUUUCAUAGAAUAGAAAAUUAUGGCCACUGUUUAUGUCUUGCUCACAUCCAUCCUCUAUUUCAGUCAUCAUUACACUUUCUUGUUUCCUCUAGUUGAUACCAUGAAGUUCCUACUGUAAUAACACUGAUUGUUUUAUUUUAUUACCCCUUUAUAUCUGCAUUGCAUUAUCUCCUUAUUCUUUGGUCAGAUGCCACUACUUCCAGACAAGUCAGUUUAUUUUUCAAGAAAAUUAUUUUCCUACUGAAGAAGGAAAGUUCUGUUAUAUAUGUUAAGGUGGGGGACUUGCUAUGUUAAUAUUUUGCUUUCCUUUUGUUCUUCUCAUGGUUUCCACCUUCAUUUACUUUUCUCGUUUGUAGAGUACUAUACCUUUUCUUCCUGCUGAAAUAAAUCCUACUUACUUUUCAGGAUUUCCACUAAUUUAAAAUUAGAUUUUUGUUUAACUCAUCUUACAGGGAAUUUCACAGGUAUUAUGUUGUUGGCUGCUUGACUUCUUUGGUAGUUUUUAUAUAGAAGCAAUGCUUCUUAGUUGACCACUCCUUUUUUCCAUGACUGAACUUGGUUAUGGCUUCCUGUCAAUUUUUAGUUCUUAAUAAAUAUAUUUUAAUUGUGUAAAAAUGUAUAUAACAUAAAAUUUACUCUGUUAACUAGUUUUGAGUAUACCAUUCUAUAGUGGUAAAUACAGUCACAUUGUUCUAUAACCGAUCUCCCAAACCCUUCGUCUUAUGAAACUGAAAAAUUUACAUCCAUCAAAUGACAGGGCACUGUCUCAUUCCCCAAGGCUCUUCCAACAACCAGUCUACUUUCUGUCUUUAUGAAUUUGAUUCCACUAAGUACCUCAUAUAAGAGAAUCCUAUAGUAUUUGUCUUUUAGUGGCUGGUAUACUUAGCAUAGUGUCCUAAAGGUUCAUUCAUGUGUAGCAUAUGUAAAAUUUUUCUUCCUUUUUAAGGAAGGAAAUAAUAUCCUCUAUCUGUCUGUCUAUCUAUCUAUCUAUCAUCAAUCAAUCAGUGGACACUUGGGUUGCUUCCACUUUAUGGCUGUUGUGAAUCAUGCUGCUUUUAAAAACCACCUUUCAUUGAAAUUGUUGAAUCAGCUGAUAGCUGAUAAUUCUAAUUUUAAUUUUUUGGGGGAACUUCUGUUUUUUUUUGUUUUUUUUUUUUUGGACAGGCAGAGUUAGACAGUGAGAGAGAGACAGAGAGAAAGGUCUUUCUUCCAUUGGUUCACUCCUUUAAUGGCUACUAUGGCCGGCGCUGCGCUGAUCCGAAGCCAGGAGCCAGAUGCUUCCUCCUGGUCUCCCAUGCGGGUGCAGGGCUCGAGCACUUGGGCCAUCCUCCACUGCCUUCCUGGGCCACAGCAGAGAGCUGGACUGGAAGAGGAGCAACCGGGACAGAAUCCAGCACUCCAACCGGGACUAGAACCCGGGGUGCCGGCGUCACAGGUGGAGGAUUAGCCAAGUGAGCCGCAGCGCUGGCCCCAAUUUCAUUCUUUUACAUGUGGUUAUCCAGUUUUCACAUCACUCUGUAUUGAAAAGACAAUAUUUUCCACACUGAAUAGUCUUUGCAACCCUGUCAAAAAUCAUUUGAGAAAGCAUACAUUCAAGGUUUGUUUCUGUACUCUAUUUCACUGAUCUAUGAUAUGUCUGUUUUUCAUUUAAUAGGACCAGGCUUUCUAUUACUUUAGCUUUGUUAUACUUUUUUUUUUUUUGACAGGCAGAGUUAGACAGUGAGAGAGAGAGAUACAGAGACAGAGAGAGGCAGAGAGAAAGGUCUUUCUUUUUCCUUUGGUUCAUCCCCUGAGUGGCAGCCCCAGCCUGCGCCCUGCACUGAUCUGAAACCAGGAGCCAAGCGCCUCCCCCUGGUCUCCCAUGUGGGUGCAGGGCCCAAGGACCUGGGCCAUCCUCCACUGCCUUCCCGGGCCACAGCAGAGAGCUGAACUGGAAGAGGAGCAACCGGGACAGAAUCCAACUCCCCAGCCGGAACUAGAACCCGGGGUGCCAGGGCCGCAGACAGAGGAUUAGCCUAGUGAGCCGCGGUGCUGGCCAUGUAAUACAUUUUGAAAUCAAGAAUUGUGAGACCUCCAACAUUGUUCUAUUUCAAGAUUGUUCUAUUUGGAGUUUCUUGAGUCUUUGUUAAUUUUAGGAUGGAAUUUUCUUUUUAUGCCCAAUAUCUCUUUGACAUUGUAAAAGGCAUUGCAUUAAAUCUGUUUAUUAAUUUUAGUUAUAUUACCAUUUUAGUAAUAUUAGUCUUCCAAUCCAUGAACAUGGGGAUUUCUUUCCAUAUAUUUUUGUAUUCUAUAAUAUCUUUCAGCAGUAUUUUGUUGUUUUAACAUGCAAGCAUUUCACCUAAUUGGUUCAGUUUAUUGCUGAGUAUUUUACUACUUUUUAUGGUAUUGCAAAUAGAAUUAUUCUCUUAAUUGCUCAUUUUUAUUGUUGUUAGUGUUUAGAAUUUUGUGUGUUGGUUUUUAUUAUGAUGAUUCUGUAUUUUAUUUUAAUUUGAAAAAGUAAGAAGGCUGUGAAAGGACGAUAUAUAGCACUCCCCCUCAACAGUUACCAAAGUCAUACUACAAAAUAUGUAGACAAAAAGCUAAUAGAUACAUUUAAGUGGCAUAAAAGUCAUUUAAGUAAUCCACAGAAGCUAUGAAUAUUUAAAGAGAAAAAAGGUACAAACAGAAAAUAAAUAAUAAAAUAGUGAUUUUAUAGUUUGCAACUUUGCUGAAAUCAUUUGUUAAUUCUAAUAAGUUUACUUUGUGUGUGUGUGUGUGUGUUUCUAACACCUUUAGGGUUUUCUAUUUUUAAAAAAUAACUUUUAGUUUUUAAGGUAACAUGAUCUGUGAACAGAGAUAAUAUUUCUUUCCAUGUGAAUCACUUUUUCUUGCGUGAUUGCUCUGGUCAGCACUUUUAGUGUCAUAUUCACUAGAAGUGACAUAAAGAAGCACUCUGUUCUUUUCCUGAUUUUGGAGGAAGGGCUUUUAGGUUUUUCAUAUUGGACAUGCUAUCAAGUAUGGGCCUUCCUAUCAGUUUUUAAAAUUUUUUUAAAUUUAUUUUCGUUUUUAAUUUGAAAGAAACAGAGACAAGUUCAUUCCUCAAAUGUCCACAGUGUCCGCAGUAGUUGGGGGUGGCUGAAGUCUGGAUCUGGGACCUCAGUCUGGGUCUGUACAUGAGUGUAAGGGAUCCAAGUCCUUGAGUCAUCACCUGCUACUUCCUAGGGUAUGCAUUAACAGGAAGCUGGAAUAAGAAGUGGAGCCAGGACCCGUACCCAGGCACUUGAUCAGACGGUUGGGGGCGUUCUAGGUGACACCUUAAGUGGGCUUUCAGUUUUGAGCACUAUUGGUUAUGUCAGAUAUACGCAGUAUAAUUUUUCUAGCUAUAAACUGAUGAUGCUAUAUUAGCAUAUGUAAAGUUGUGGAGCUUGGGCUUUUUUCUCCAGGAUUCUUGCAUACAGAAAGGUCUCAAUAUUUUCAGUAUGAUAAUUGCUACCUCAUCAACUCUGUUUGAGAACAUCUGUUAAAUAAUUGUUGACAGUAUAGCAAAUUAUUUGGGAGAACUAAAGUAUUAGUUUCCCACAAUUUCUGGAAAAUCAGCAUAUUUUAUUUUUUGAAAGGAUUAUGAUUCAAAAAUAAGAUUGUUUUAAAAAAAUUAAAACGGGGGCCGGCGCUGUGGCAUAGCGAGUAAAGCUACCGCCUGCAGUGCUAGCAUCCCAUAUAGGUGCUGGUUCAGGUCCCGGCUGCUCCACUUCUGAUCCAGCUCUCUGCUAUUGCCUGGGAAAGCAGAAGAUGGCCCAAGUCCUUGGGCCCCUGUAACCACGUGGCCGGUAGAAGCUUCUGGCUUCGGAUCGGCACAGCUUUGGCCCUUGCUGCCAAUUGGGGAGUGAGCCAGUGGAUGGAAGAUUCUCUCUCUCUCUCUCCCUUUCUCUCUCUCUCUCUCUGUAACCCUGACUUUCAAGUUAGUAAAUAAGUCUUUAAAAAAAUUAAAACCAAAAACUUGUUCUUACCUCUUUUCAUGUUAUCCAUUGCUCUCAUUUAUAAUCAGUGUGUUUUAAUGAAAAUGAAAAUGUGGAAAAAUAGAAUCAUAUAUACUUCCUCUCUGAUACAAAAAGUAGAUUGAUUUGCACAAAGGAUAGUCUGUAAUUUAUACAAAAGUUCAAUUAAUAUGUAUACUGUACUUUUCCACUUAACAGAUCUCAUAAAAUAUUCAUAAAAGUACUUUUUUUUUCUUCUCUUUGACAUAAUAUUCUAGUAUUUGGAAGUAACAUAACUCUUUUAAUCAAUCCCCAGUUGAUUGCUUGGCACAUAGAGUACACCAUUAUUUCACUGUUAUGUGAAUUGUCAUGUCAUCAAAUAUAUACAUUUGAACAAAUUUAAGUGUCUUUGUGGGAGAGCUUUCCAGAAUGAUUGUUAGGCUAAAUGGAAGAGGCACCUAUGAUUUUGGUAGAUGUUGCCAGAUAUCAUUUUCAGGACUUAAUAUAUUUUUUACAUUCCUGUAAGCUAUUGGUCAACGUGCUUGGUUCCCACAGCUUUUCUAAUACUGUGUUGUUAAACUAUUCAGUUUUUUGCUAUUUUGAUGGACAACAAAUGGUAUCUGAGUAAUUUGUUUUUGUCAAUAUGAGUCUUAUUGGGCAUCAAGUGUUUAAAAGCUAUUUGGAUUUCUUUUUUGUGAUUAUUUAUCCUUUGCUAAUUUUUCUCCUGAGUUACUAAUUCUUUUCUUCUGUGUUCCUUGGUACUUUUUAUAUGUUACAGAUAUUAGUUCCUUAUAUGUGGUAGCAGUUAUGCAUUUUUUUUCCCAGUUUCUCUUCUGGCUUUGCCUAAGGUACUUUUCCAAUUUAGUUUGUUUUGCUUUAAAAAAAAAAUCUACCUACAUUUAUUACUUUUCUUUUUGCUUCUUAAUUUUGAGUUAUAAUUGCAAAGGCAGAAGCAGCAUUUCUUAAUGGAGUGGAAUAUUGUCUGGUAGGAGGGGUGCACAACAUGAACACUGGAGCAUGUUCCAGGCAAAUGUAUGCAGAUGUGCUUUUCUAGAAUAGCAUUCAGCGUUAUUUCUUCCUUUCUGUAAAUCAGUGGUCAUUUCUAACGUUGACAGAGUGUGGAAAGAGCUGGCCAUAUUUUGAAUCUGCACCAGUAAAAGAAAUGAAUUUGAUUCACUUUCUUUACUGCUGUCUCCUCAAAGAAGCAGCAAAAUGAAUAUUUUAAGGUUGUGGAUAUAUUUUGAGCCAUAGAAACUUUGAUAUUCAUAUUCUUCUGAUUCAGUGCUUUAAUAUUACUGUCUAUUCAGCAAUUAAAGGCUUUAAAUGUGAAUGUUGUCGUAGAUUAGAGCAUAUGACAAGUUGGCUUGCAUGCCAAGUAACAGAUAAGUAGUGGUAGUAAUAAUUUUUUAAACAUCAAUUUUCAGGUAACACAAAGAGUACUUUUAUUAAGGUAUAUUGCUAAGUAAAUACUUUUGGACAUCCUUCAUUAGGUGUACCAGUUGGUGAACAUUUAUUUAGCUUUAGACAUUUGGCAUACAACUUGUUUGCAGAUAAGUAUUAAGUAUGCUUUUCUUUCAAUAAAUGUAUAUGAUUUUUUUGAGAUUAAAAGUGUCAUUACCAGUAAACUGUUACAAGCUAAUUUGGUUUAUAAAGAAAGCUGUUGGAAGAGAACCUAUUAAAAUAUGAUAAUAUAACAAAAUCAAGCUAUAAAGGCUUUUAAACCUUGUUUUGGGGUUAUAAAAAUUAGCAUUUUCAUUUUUGAUUAGCCUAGUAAUUACAUAUUUAGUAGUUAAUACUCCUUGUUAGUUGGAACAAGCAUUGUGGGAAGUAUAAAACAGUUUAGGCUUCCCUCAGUUGUAAAGCUUUAAAUAAAAUUACAAAUUAUUAAAACAUUUUAAGUCCUGGCUUAUAAAGAAUUUAUUUAAACGUUUCCAUGUUCAGUGGAUUUGUGAAAUUGAAUUAUUAUAGCCCUCCUUUUUUUUUUUUUAAGUUUUCUUUUCUAGACAGGAGAGAAGAGACCCCCCCCCUUCCCCAAAUUUGGAUGCUCUCCAAGAGCUCUAUGUGUGUGCCUGAGAAGUUAUAAUCACUUGAUUCGAGUCUGAGUUUUAUUGGACAGGCUUGUCUGGUGGGUUAAAAUCCCCUCAUCCUUUUCCAGAUGAUAACUGGCUUGUUUUUCUCCCCUUAAAAAUAGUAAGAAUUUACUUUUUGUAGUGAUAUCAGACCUGGAGACAUAGGCCACCUUGGUUCCAUGUGCUGCUGGCUUAAAGAAAGAAUGAAAUAUGAAAAGACAAAAACAAAGAAGGGCGUAAAAGAAAAGAAAGACUUAUGAUGGGUUGGCGCACAGAAAUGUCAUAUUCCAAUCACGACAUGAGAAAUGGUUGGAUUGCCUGUCCUACUAGGAGAUUCUCGACUGACAUUUUGUCGUGUUAUUGUGUCCACGCUAUUUAGUUCCUCCUGGAGCCUUCCGAAUUUCACACGCACUGCUUCAAUCAGCUCCUGCAGAGCGGAUAACUUACCUAGGGACCCAGGCCUUCCUGGACAAGCAGCCAAUCUUGAACGGGGCGACUGCCCUUGUUUUAUAUUUUUAAAUUUUUUUGCAUUUCAAAGUAUAGGUGUUUGUUACAGUAAUUUAUUGGAAGUUAAAAGCCAUUGAAUUUUUCUAGAAAUAUAUAUAUAUGCACACAGAUAGAUAUCUUUCUGUGUGUGUGUAUAAAUAUAUAUAUAUAUAUAGAGAGAGAGAGAGAGACAGAGAGAGAGGAUGGAUUAUGUAGAAAUGAACCUACCUGCUGGCAUUUUUUUAUUUAAAAACUUUUAUAUUGUGACAUAAAGCAUUUUUGUAUCUCUAUAAACUAAUGUGUCUUUAUUUUCUAGUACAUAUUUCUGUAAUGUAAACUUGCCUGUGUAGAUACAAAAAGCAGUUUGAAAACUGUUUUCUGUGUUUACAAAAUAUACGUUAAUGGGAUUUGAGUGGGAAGGGUUUGAGACAACUCAGAUUUAGUAAGAAAGUGGAGGAGAGGGAAUUUUCCUAAGAAGCUUUAGACUACGUGCAAGUUGAGAAUCUAUCCUGUAUGUAGUAGAGGUAAAGGUCCAACUCUGCCAUUAAUUUAAAAGAAAACUAAGAUUUUGGUAGAAUCCUGAGUAAAUUAUUUUUAGAGUUUUAAAGAUCUUAAAAAAUGUUACACAUCAAACUGGGCUUUAAAACAGUAACAAAAAUUUGGGCCUACUUUUUCAGAUGUAUACUUACCUUAAAAUGAGUAGCAGUUAGGUAAAAGGGAGGGGUACUAGAGGAAAAAAAUGUUAUAAUGUCCUGUUUUAAUUAAGGGUUGAAAUAUAUUUCACAUGAAAAAUAGAGUUUAAUUUUUAGUAUUAUUAUUUAAAUCAGUGUGCCAGAAUUUUCAGUGUGGAUAGAGAAGAAGAGGCUCUGAUUUUGUAAGCUGCAACAAUAAAUAUAUAUAUUUCAAAUGCUAAUGUGUUAGGUUUUUAACUUUUCAUUUCAUUUUGAAAAUAUGUAGCAACCACAUUAGAUUUUUGAGUAAUAGUAUUAACAGUAAAUAAGCAAGCAUGGAUCUAAAAUUAAACAAAAUGAAUUAGGACUUUAAGAUGUGGAUACUUUUACUUAAUAUUCUAUAUGGGGAAGAUACUGUAUUAUCAAGGCAUCAAAUGUGUUUCAUGUUAAUCAAGAACAUUGGUAUUUUAAAAAAUUUGUUUAUGUUUUCUGCGAUUAUAACACUGUUUGCCUUUCCUCAGACUGAAUUUGAGUUGAUUAUUUCUUAGUGCCUUUAGGCAAUCAGUGGCAUUUAAGUUUUGUAAAAGAAAACUUUGUGCAUAAGAUGUUUCCAAUAAAACAAAAAGCUCAUUGAA
Molecule: non-coding RNA, 35284 nt
Organism: Oryctolagus cuniculus (rabbit)
Lineage: Eukaryota; Metazoa; Chordata; Mammalia; Lagomorpha; Leporidae
Source: RefSeq, a predicted model, not a curated record